RNAcentral lists this ribosomal RNA (406 nucleotides) under uncultured bacterium. Its description in RNAcentral is "partial 16S ribosomal RNA". It matches the Rfam family "Bacterial small subunit ribosomal RNA", at positions 30 to 526 of the family's 1533-position model. The record is from RNAcentral.
AUUGAACGCUGGCGGCAGGCCUAACACAUGCAAGUCGAAUGAGGGGCGGACGGGUUAGUAAUGUCUGGGAAACUGGUCGAUGGCGGGAGAUUACUACUGGAAACGGUAGCUAAUACCGCAUACCAUCGGAUCUGCCCCGAUGUGGUUAGAUAGUAGGUGGGCGAACGGCUCACCUAGGCAACGAUCCCUAGCUGUUCUGAGAGGAUGACCAGAAACACAGGAAAUGAGACACGGUCCAGACUCCUACGGGAGGCAGCAGUGGGGAAUAUUGCAGAAUGGGUGCAAGCCUGAUGAAGCCAUGCUGCGUGUAUGCAGAAGGACUGCGGGUUAGAAAGAACUUUAAGUGAGGAGGCGUUACUCGCAGAAGAAGCACCGGCUAACUCCGUGCCAGCAGCCGAGGUAAUAC